GUUCUUGCUGUUUAGCGACUGCAGUAUUUGUUGUUAGAGCAUGGUGCUGAUAACGCCAAGGCUGCAGGUUCGAACCCUGUAUGGGACA
Podarcis lilfordi (Lilford's wall lizard) is the source of this 88-nucleotide non-coding RNA. The record is from the annotation of a GenBank genome assembly. NCBI's taxonomy places the organism in Eukaryota, Metazoa, Chordata, Lepidosauria, Squamata, Lacertidae.